Molecule: long non-coding RNA, 229 nt
Organism: Zea mays
Lineage: Eukaryota; Viridiplantae; Streptophyta; Magnoliopsida; Poales; Poaceae
Exons: 3
Source: RefSeq, a predicted model, not a curated record
GGAUUUAAAGGUUGUUCUAGGUCCUUGCAGGAUUAAGCCCAACAAAACAGAGAUUUGUGAUUAAAAGUUGGUUCAAGGUUCUUGCAAUAUUAAGCCUAGCAAAACAGAUUCGUGGGCAGCAAGGAAAGGAAGGUGUUGUAGUUCAGAAAAUCCAAAAACAACUAGGAGAUUGUCGAGCUCUAGUGUAAGGUAAGUUCAACUAAUUUACCUUGUUUCCGGUUCAAUUGUG